GAGUCUCAACAGCAGCUGAGUGGGAGCAGCAAACAUGCUGCUGCUGGCAGCACUAACGGUCACAACUGCAUGGUCAUAUGGAUUUGCACAGGAAACUCCCAUACAGAGCCCUGUAUCCAUCACCAUGUCACGAGGAAAUACAGAUCUGAAGUGUCAUUUUAAAGACUUCUCUGGAAAUUUUGAUAACACUGUCAUACACUGGUAUCAACAGAAGGAGAAUAAAGCUCCAGUGAGGAUGAUCUACUUUUCAUCAGGUUCAGUAGCAGUAGAUGAGAGCUUCCAAAGGCACAGAUACACGAUUCAAACUAUUUCUAGACAGAAGCUUUGCACUCUUACAAUAAGAAAUGUAAUUCCGGAUGAUGCUGCUACUUACUACUGUGCCUACUGGGACCCUCACUAUGGCAGAUGCCAAACAAUCACCUCUGCAAAUACUUUCUCGGCAGCUCUCCUGUAA
Gallus gallus (chicken) is the source of this 454-nucleotide non-coding RNA. The record is from the annotation of a RefSeq genome assembly. NCBI's taxonomy places the organism in Eukaryota, Metazoa, Chordata, Aves, Galliformes, Phasianidae.